Podarcis lilfordi (Lilford's wall lizard) is the source of this 856-nucleotide non-coding RNA. The record is from the annotation of a GenBank genome assembly. Lineage: Eukaryota; Metazoa; Chordata; Lepidosauria; Squamata; Lacertidae.
CCUGAGAUAGAUGAACUCACUGUGAACUUGAUUCUUCUCCAAAGAAGCAAUUGGGCAAUUGUCGAUAAAAUAUAUCACGGUCACAUUUGAUUUCAAAAGAGGAACGCCCCCCCUGAACAAAAUGAUUGGUGAAAAGGAACUAGAAAGGCAAAGGGUCGUAUCACUCCAAAAUGCUUGGGUGUUGCUUCAAAACACAACAUGGUGUCAGAAGUUCAAUUGUAUACUGCAGAUUAAGAAAGGUACCAUGAGGGCCAAAAGGACACUGGCAUGGUGAAGAAGCAGAGUCAAAGAAGCUAUUAGAGGCAAGAAGACUUGUCCAAAUGAAGAGAACAUAAAGGAAUGCAACUUUGGCAGAAAGAACUGGGAAAGAUAUCUAUAACUUGUCCCUCAGCACUGUGUGGAUGGGGACCAGCGCUGGGGGGUCUUCUAUGCUCUGAAGCUGCAGUAGCCACCCCCAGCUCCUCACAACAACCUGGAACAAUGAACUCCUGCCCAGGAGCUUUCUGGCCCAGCAAGCUUUUAAUAGCAUUUGCUUGUGUUUUCUUCCUACUGCUGCCUGGUCAGCUUUCAAGUCUGGAUCCACUGAAAGAGUUUGCAAGAAACUUCGCCUUCCAGUCUGGGUUUUGCUGGCCUUUCAGUCAGAUUACUUGGCUUUGCACUAUUCCAGGUCUGGCUAGAAGUGUGGAAGGAUUUCUCUCUCUCUCUCUUUCUGUUUCUUUCCUUCUUGCUCCCCUCCUUCUUUGCUUUCUUUCCCUCUUACUGGAAUGAUCCCCUCUUCUCCCUCUGCAUCUCUGUUCCAUCUGUUUUGGUUAUUAAAAUCUUCUUUCCUUUCCUUUCCUUUCCUUUCCUUUCCUUU